This 427-nucleotide ribosomal RNA is filed under the name uncultured bacterium. RNAcentral describes it as "bacterial SSU rRNA". It matches the Rfam family "Bacterial small subunit ribosomal RNA", at positions 355 to 774 of the family's 1533-position model. The record is from RNAcentral.
UGGGGAAUUUUGGACAAUGGGCGCAAGCCUGAUCCAGCAAUGCCGCGUGCAGGAUGAAGGCCUUCGGGUUGUAAAGCACUUUUGUCCGGAAAGAAAAGCUCUCGGUUAAUAGUCGAAGGUCCUGACGGUACCGGAAGAAUAAGCACCGGCUAACUUCGUGCCAGCAGCCGCGGUAAUACGUAGGGUGCGAGCGUUAAUCGGAAUUACUGGGCGUAAAGCGUGCGCAGGCGGUUAUAUAAGACAGAUGUGAAAUCCCCGGGCUCAACCUGGGACCUGCAUUUGUGACUGUAUAGCUAGAGUACGGCAGAGGGGGAUGGAAUUCCGCGUGUAGCAGUGAAAUGCGUAGAUAUGCGGAGGAACACCGAUGGCGAAGGCAAUCCCCUGGGCCUGCACUGACGCUCAUGCACGAAAGCGUGGGGAGCAAACA